RNAcentral lists this unclassified non-coding RNA (12787 nucleotides) under Penaeus japonicus. RNAcentral describes it as "titin homolog, transcript variant X1". Lineage: Eukaryota; Metazoa; Arthropoda; Malacostraca; Decapoda; Penaeidae. The record is from RNAcentral.
UGCUGGCUCUCAGUAGUGCAAAUGGAGUGAGGAUGAUCGUGUGUCGGGGGACGGCCGCUCGUGGAAUUGACGCAGCAAAAUGGGCGACAGAGCCAGGAGCCUCACCAUCGACGGCGUGCGGCUCAUCAAGGACCUCAAGGUGGUCGAGCUCAAGGCCGAGCUAGAACGCCGAGGCCUAUCCAAGUCGGGCAGCAAGAAGGAACUGGUGGAACGUUUACGGAGUAGUGUACAAUUUGAGAACACAAAAUCCAAGGCAACUGCUGCUAUAAGUGAGGAGGAAGUUCCCAAUAGAUGGUUGCAAAAUGAAGCCAACUUAGACAACGACUUUAUCCGUGAAUAUUUCCAGUCCCAGCAGGCCCUCUACAGGCAGCAAAUUGAAGCUAGAAGACAGUACAGAGAAACCAGUGGAGAAGGAGCAACUCCAGCAACUCCUUCAGCGGCUCUACCCUCAGUCCAGCAGGUGGCUGUUGGGGGCCCUCAGCAGUCUGGCAAAGCCACCCCUUCAUCUCUCACUACCCCUCCUGUGACUCCUCCAGCAACAGUAGCAGCAGGAGGAGGAACAGCUAGUGUUGGCCGAGCUCACACACAUACUGUGAGCAAAACCACUCCAGAUCUAUCUGCAGUUGCAAGCUCAGGUCCUGCUCACAAGCCAUCCCCAAGCCCCUCCGUCAGAAGCUCCUUGGCUGCCGGCGGAACCUCACUGUCAUCUGGUGGACAAACUCCUGCAGGAAGAGAGGGCACUGCAAAGGCUUAUGCAAACACAUUGGUUGGUACUGCAUCUCAUAUAAAUACUGGUGAAACUGCAGUACCUUCCUCCACAAAAACUCCACCUAGAGAGAAGCCACCGACGCAGCUCACCCUUAAGGUUAAAUUAAAAAAUGAUGCCACAGCAGUAACCACCCCACAAACACCUUCAACAUCAUCAAGUUCCAGUAGACCUAGUAGAAGUUCAGCACGUGCUGCUCGAGAGCUCAGCAGAGUCUCACUUGAAGACUCAGAGGAGGAAGAUGACUCUGAGGGAAGGGAGGAACGUCAGCCACCAGUGAGGCGUUCUAGGAAGCGAUCAGCGCGGCACGCGCAGACCCCAGAGGACCCUGACUUCGUUGCAGCUGGCACCAGCCUCUUGAGCAGUCCCCCGAGCAGUGAUCUCAAAGACAGAGUGCCGUCUCUUAGGAUUAAGUUACCUGAACCUGUGCCUAAUGUGAAUUUAAGUAUUUCAACAACAGUUGAUGAAAAACCAAAGAAAAGAAUAGAGAGUGUAUCUAUUAAUAGGAAAGAACCUAAUAGUUUAUUGGAUGCAAAGUGCAGACGCCCCGUUCAUAGCAUUAGGAAGCAUGUGAAUGACCCUCCACAAGACUCUGAAGGCUCGCUCAACAGAGAGACCUUAGUACCUGAUGUAAGUGUUAGAUCCGCUGGUGAUAAUCUGAAAAAUCCAUGUCUUCAGGAAGGACCGAAGCCCCUUGGGAAGAGCGGAUGCAGUGUUGGUGAUUCCAAGAAUGCAAAAGAUUCGUCGGUCAAACCUGAUUCUCCUGUGCCAUUAGACUGGUUGAAAAGAUCGCUCAGGACUAACCCUAAAAAACACGAACCCAGUGAGGCCGGUUCAAAUCCACAGGGACCAGACUAUGCAAGUUUACAACCGACGGUUUCGCUGAGACGUUUAGAGAGUGCGCCCAGCACAGAGAGACAAAUUGCCAAAGAUGAACCAGUAGUGAGCCCUGUUAGCUUGAGUCGGAAAAGCCCAAGUGCUAGUGAAAGCCAAGAACCAGAGAGAAAAGCAGAAAGAGAAAGUUCUGCAAAGAGAGAGAAUGCCAGAAAUCAGUUAGAAAGCAAAGCUGGAAAUAAACUUUUGAGUGCAAGUGCAGAGGAAAGAUUAGAGGCUUGCAGUUCCAUAACCAUUUCAAAAGUUGAUGCUCGUCAAAGAAAAGAACCAAGUGAUUUGAACACCAGUAAAGAAGUAGAGUCAUCAACAUUAAGAACGCUCCUUACAGGUGAAAAUAAAGACAUUGUGUUAGUAGCAAACAAGAAUAAAUCUACAGCUGUUGAUGCACAAGACCAGCCUGACCAGAAGCAUUUGCCCAGUUUGAAAAGUCCUCAGCAGAGAUCAAAAAGCACAGAAGACCCAAGUGUUAGUGCAUUAAGUUUGGUAACAGUGCCCCAAGGAGAGAGUUUGUCCAGCACUAAACAGAGUGUAGGAAGAACGAUUGGGGAAACUCAAGUUAAAACUGUGAUAUAUGAGUCCAGUGAUCCAGAAUGGAAAACUGAUAGUACAAAGCCACAUUCUGAUUGCAAAUUCUCAAAAGAAACUGCCGAAAAGAAGGAACUUGAUAAACAGAGUCAAGUUGUUCAAGACGUCACUCAAGGGCCAUCUGUUAAAAGGGACCCCAGUGUUUUAGAGGAAAACUCAAAGCCAGGGGUUGAAUGCACCACAUCAACUGGAACAGCAGUUGCACCAGCACCCAAGGCAGCUAAUUUACCAACUGGUCCACUCAAAACAAAAAUCUGGGAAAAAUUGCUGACAACAGCGCAGAAGAAAGGAGACGUUUCCAAAGACACCCCAAGAGACUCGACCAAAAAGGAGGAAAAAGAAGAAACUCCACCACAGGCUCAGCAGACUGACCAGGAAAUAAAAACAGAAACUGGUGUUAAGAAAGAAUUUGACAAGGACAGACAGACACCAGAAGAAACUUGCUCUGGCCAAGACUCGGAGAGCCUUGAGGAGUCUGAUGAAAAUCCCUCUCAAGCCACAGAUGUGAAAGCACAUGUAAAAACCAGGACCCAGAUAACUGAAGCUGUGCACAAACCUUGUGAUUUGCCUGAGGAGAGCACUGAAAAGGCAUGUCACAAGAGUGAGACAGGUGAUGUCGUCCCAGAAGCCAAUACAAAGGAAGAAUUAAAAGAGAGUUCCUUGUCUGAAGGUCAGCCUGUGCCCCAGAAGGAUACGCUUAUUCCAGAAACUAAGAAGAAAGUUACUGAAGCCCCAAAAGUCUUGGAAGUAAAUGUCCUUGGUAAACCAGCACAUCCAGUUGGAAAAUCAAAAUUGAGUCCAACUUUAAAUACACAUCCUGUCACUUUGUCUAAAACUUCUUGUGAAACUCCAACCUCAACAAGUUGGAGAAAAGAGACUGUUUUUAAGAUAGAAGAAACUGAACCAGUUUUAAAAGAAGAGGCCAAGGAAAGUGUCCCAUCCAAAGAGGAAAAAUUAGGAGAAGCCAGCAAGAAACAUAAAAACGAAAGCACAGAUAUCUCGAGCCAUAUAAAAGAAACCGUUGAACCAGAUACUGCCAGACCGCCUAAGGAGGAGCAGACUGGUAAAGAGUCCUCAGAUUCAGAUAAGAGUAAGCAGUCUGAUAAAGGUCAAUCAAGUGAGAGUAAAAGCAAUAAAGUCUCUAGAGAAAAUCUACCUGAACAGGAAUCAGACACAGAGAAGAAGCCAGAGUUAAGUAAUCCAACAGAAUCACAACCAGACCCAUUGGUACUACCAGUUUCUGAGAAGUUACUGCCACCUAUUACCAAGAGUGGGUCACACCUCAGUCCUAAAGUUGAAACCCCAGAAACGAUUAUCAGUGUUGAAUCGGCCAAGCCAUUGGAAGACAGAGGAAAGUUCAUCUCUUCCCCAGCUGAUAGAAAGGAUCAACAGGAUACCCAAUCUGCAGAGACUAAGGAUCAAAUAAGUCCUGUUCCAAACACAAGUACCGCAGUAUGCAAGGAAUCUAAUGUGUCCCAGGAGCAAAGUUUUGUCAAAGUAGGAAAAAUCAAGAGUGAAACUGAAAGGCCACUACCUACAGAUACCAGCAUAAAGGAGACUUUUGAUGCUGAAGAAGCAGAGAAGAGGACAGGAAAUCAGCUAUUUGGCCAGAAUCUAAACAAAGUAAAUGUGUCAAGUAGUGAGAAAGAAGGAUCCCAUAUUGAGACUAGUAAUGAAGGAAGAAUAAAUGAAACACCUCUUAUAAGUCAACACAAAUUUUUAGAGUCUGAAACCUACAAGAAAGAAGGAACACACGUCAGAGAAGUUGCAAGCCUUGAGAAAGAUCAAACACAUCAAGUUAAGAGUGUAAGUCCAAGAGAUUCAGCUAUUACAAGCAAAGUUGCUGAGAGUAAAGAUUCAUCAACAUCUACUAAGGUUACACUUUGUGAAUCAGAAUCAGUUCCCAAAGUGAAAGUAGAGGAUAAGGAAAAAGAACAGUCCUCGACAUCCAAUCAGACACUUACUGAGAGGGAUCAAACCAUCUCAAACAAAGUUUCAGGUGUGAAAAAUCCUCCUGUUUCAAGCAGAUUAACAUCUAAUGAAGAUACAACAGUUUUCUCCAUUAAAGAUCUACUGAAGAGAGAAGAAGUCCCUGUAGACAAAACUGAUCCAAGUCUCACAAGCAAAGCUUUGAGUAGCAAGGAAGAACCAACUGUAAAAAACAAAGUUUCAGCAGUCAAAGAUUCAAGCAGUGAGAAAGAUUCUUCAUCUGUAGCAGAACUUUCAUCUUGUGUAACAGAUUUAACUCCUGAAGUUGUAAAAAGGGAGAAGAAAACAGCCUUCACUUCAGAAGUUCCUGGUGAAAAAGGCCCAACUACAACAUCUGCCACUCUAAGUAGUGAGAAAGAAUUGCCUUUGACAAGUGAAGUCCCCAGUAGGAAAAGAGAACCAGAAAUCUCAUCUGAAGUCACAACUGAAGUUUCCACUUCAGAAGAAAAAGCUGGAAUUUCAACUUGUGAGGGACAAUUACCUGUCACAACUGAAGUUCCCAGUCAAGAGAUAAAACCAACAGUUAUAUCAGAAGUUUCUAUUGAAAAGAAAGAGCUUGACCUCAUAGGGGAACUCCAGAUUUGUAAAAAAGAACCAACAGUUGCAACAGGUCUUAGUAGUGAGAGAGAGCUAUCUGAGACAUUAGAAGUUCCCAAUACUAAACCAACUACUGCAGCUGACGUUCUUAGUCAGGAGAACAAAAUCACUGUCACACACAAAGUUUCCAGUAGUCAGAAAGAAUCACUUCCCACAACUAGCAUUUCCAGUGGUGAAAAAAGACCAGGAAUCACAUCGGAAGUUCCUAAUAGGGUGAAAGAACCAUCUGAUACCUCUAAGAUUCUCAGCAGUGAGAUAGAACCAUCUGUGACAACUGCAGUUCUCACUAAAGAAAUAAAAACCGUACACACACCUACAGUUCUUAUUACUGAGAAAGAACCAACUGAAACCAGUAACAAAGAACAAACUGAGACAUCUGAACCAACUACAACCUUUAAAGCAUUCAGUACUAAAAAAGAACCAGCUGACACAUUUAAAGUUUUUAGUAACAAAGAAGAACAAACUGUAACUGAACCUCUGAGUAGUGAGAAGAAAUUGGCUGUAACUACAGAAACUCCAACUAGUGAACAAGAACCAGCUGUAAUACCUAAAGCCUUAGCUAGUGAGCAAGAACCAGCUGUAAUACCUAAAGCCUCAGCUAGUGAGCAAGAACCAGCUGUAAUACCUAAAGCCUCAGCUAGUGAGGAAGAACCAGCUGUAAUAUCAAAAGUUUCUGCUUGUGAAACAGCACCAGUUAUACUAUCAAAAGCUUUCACUACUGAGAAAGAACCAGUUCUGAUAUUGAAAGCUUCGGCUUGUGAGAAAGAAUCGACUGUAAUAUCAAAAGCUUCUGCUAGAGAAAAAGAACUGCCUUUAAUAUCAAAAGAUUCCACUACAGAGAAAAAACCUGCUGAAAUAUCAAAAGAUUCCACUAGUGUGAAAGAACCAGCUGAAAUAUUGAAAGCUUCUGCUAGUGAGAAAGAACCAGCUGUAAUAUCCAAAACUUCCACUUGCGAGAAGAAAUCAGCUGUUCUACCAAAAGCUUCCACCAGUGAGAAAGAACCAGCUGUUGUGCCAGAAAUUCCUGGUAGUGAGAAAGAGAUAGUUCCAGAAAGCACAUCUGAGAACACUGAAAGUGAAUCUGGACUCGCAAGUAAAGUUGCAAGUAGCGAGACCAAUAAACAACAAAGCAAGAGUCCCACAAUCUGUCUGCUUCCAGAUUCUAAAAGUAGUUCACCUGAAGCAGACGCAUCCAGUAGUGAUUUGGACUUGAAGGCAGAAAUUGCGAAAGAAUCAAAGGAACCAGGGGAGCCACAGAAACUCCCAGAAGCAGAGACAUACCUUUCAAAGACCAGUGCCCAGGAACUUGCACUUGAGGAAAGAAAAAGUCAAACUGCUUCUGAAAGUACAAGUGUCCCGAGCAUUCCAAGCCAGCCCUCUAAAGAUGCAGUAAAUGAGACCAAGUCUUUUUUAGAUCCAGAGGUUGCAGGUAAUUCUGAAAAGUCUGAUCCACAAGACAAAGUAUCAAGUAGCCACAAAUCUGUUCCUUCAGAUAAGAAAGUAAUCACAGCACGAGAGGAAGGAUCAACGGUUGUGGUUGUAGAUAAUCAUAAAGAAAAGGAAUCAAAAGAAGACUCAGAAGAGUGUCACAAAGAGCUCUCCAUCAAAGUAGGCCAACCAUUGCAAGACCUGAAAACUUUGAAUAACCUCAAAGAUCCUUACAUAGAAUCAAAGGUACCAAAUUGCCAGAGAGUCCUAUCUUCUAGCCAGGGAGAAGGUUUGUUUUGUGUUAAUGAGGAAGAAAAAGUCCUUGAAAACACAUUAGUUGAGUCUACAGGUGUACAAGGCAAGCAGAAGAUUUUAACUCUAGAUUCACAUACUUCCAAGUCAGUUGACAAACAAGAAACUGUAUCUGAUGUUCCAUGUCUAGGAAUUGCUAAGGAGGAUUUUCCUGGAACUACCAAGGCGUCUAAAGCAUUAGAAUCAAAACUUUCUAAGGAAGUAACUAGUGCAAAAGAAGAUAGUUCAGUUUUAGGAGCACCAAGCCAAGAUAUCGGCAAGGAAGAACCAAGUGUAAGAGAGGAAAUAUCCUCUGAUCAGAGAGUACAGCAACCUCCAAAGUUAGUUACUGAUAACAGUUCAGAAAUUGAACUUGGCAGCAGUCAAGCCAGUUGUCUUAAACAAGAAGAGGAGAAAGACCAAGCUUCAGAGACAGAAGACAAAUUGGAAAAAGAAGGUGACAGAAAGCUAUUAAAACCAUCAGAAGAAGAACCUAGUAAAAUCUGUGAGGAUAUUACUCUCCAAAAGAGUGCAUCAUUAUCUAAGAAGAGUGAAUCACAGCAAGAGGACAAACCUGACCAUCUAAUCAAAGAAGAGACAGUCCUACCUUUACAGUGUGAAAGUGUUGAUUCUAAUUUCUCAGAAAAGAGUGAAACAACUGCAACUCAAGAGAAAGACCAUAGUGAUCCAAAAGAUUUGUGUCCAGAAAAGAAACCUUCACCAGAUUCUGAAACUAGAAAGCCUAGUGUAGAAGUACCAUCAAAGACUCUACCUACAGAGGAGCAGAAGAACUCCCAGUGCGACUUCAGAUUACUGGCAGUCCUUACUGAAACGUCUGGGCAGAAGGAUCAGGAUUUAGGAAGCACUGUUCACAAAUCUUCCCUCACACUAACCACGAAAGAUAAACUUACAGAACAAGAAGAGUUUGACAUUCCCUUGAAACUAAAUACAGAAUUAAGAGAAGAUAAAUUACAUUCAUCAGGAGGUACAACUUGUGAUCAGAAAGACUAUAACUGUUCUUUCACCUUUGUCAAGAACCCAACUGGAAGUAUCACAAAGGAAAUCAAGUUUGACACUCCAACUGACAUAGAAGCUGUUGAGUCAAAAUCUUUGAGUAUAUCAGCACCGCCAUCUUAUCAGACUGAUUGUACGAGUGGAAACUCUCCCAGCAUCCCCAUAUCAGAGACUGUUCCCCCAAUCAAGCGAACAGAUAACUUGGACUGUAUCAUUAACUCGUGCGCGCUAGAUAAGAGAGGGCACUUGAACCCUAAAGACACUACAUCAUCUGGUAUACCAUAUCUAGUAUCAAAACCUGUGUCAGAAGAUUGCAAGAACCAAGAAGAUCUAGUGAAAAGGGAUCAGGAGUUGCUUGCAGAUUUAGUAAGAAAGAGGGCCAGAGUAGAACAGAGCAAAGAAUCUGACCCUGAAUCUGAAGAGCAGACAACAGGAACUGGAAGUGAAUCGGAUUCAGACACAUCAGAUAGUGAGAAGAUGGCUCGCAGAAGAAAGACCGAGGCCACUGCUGAGGCUGAGGUGGAGACACCCUCCCGCAGCUCAAGGAGGAGCAAGAGGGUGAGCGAGGCAGCAGCUGCAGCAGUUGAGGAGAACAGCACUGACAGCCCCCAGGAACCAGAAGAGGGGGUUGCACAGAGGGUGUCACAGAGCAGCUCUCGAAGCCUGGGCAAGAAAGAUAGCAGUAAUGGCGAUGUGCAGGAGGAGGAGAAUGUCAGGGCAAGCCGCUCCCGUCGCAACUCCAGGAGCAGAAGUGUCGACAAGGAUAAGGUGAUGGAGAGUGAAGGAGCAAAAACCAGAGGCAGACAUACACGAGAUGAGAGCAUGGACCAAGAGGAGCAAGAGGAGCAGGAGCAGGCACCAGCCACAGCCAGGAGGAGGAGGAAGAGCGGCAGUGUAGAUAAGGACACGCCCAAAACCCCCCUUAGAAGGUCACGACGCAUGUCACGAGGUGGGAGCACAGAACCAGAAGAAGUGGAAGAACCAGCUGAGGUGAAACGUGCUGACGGUGUGGCUAAAAAGCUAGAAAGCAUCCAGGAGUUGAAUGAAAGCCGCAGUGAGACACCAAAGAAAUCGGCUGAGACCAAGGAGCCAUUGCCAUGUGAGAAUUCAAGUCAGGAAUUGCCAUCGAAGGAAGAAAAUGAAGUGUCCACCAAGGACAGUCCAGAUAAAGCUCAGAAUACAGCAAAACCCAAACAAGACUCAAAGGAAAAGGAUGAAGUUGGUGAUCUUUCAAAGGAGAAAAGUAGUGCCGAUACAGAAGAGACGGAAGAAGCCUUAAGUUUGAAAGGAGAGGAAUCUCCCAAGAAGUCGCGAGAUGAUUCACCGAGGAAAUCACGUGAGAAAUCUCCAAGGAAGUCAAGAGAGGACGACCCCCACAAGAAGUCUCGCUUCGAGUCAAACAGAAAGUCCAAGGAUGAAUAUCCAAGAAAUGCAAAGGAAGAAUCCUCCAGCAAAGACAGAGAUGAGAGCUCUGAAGAUGAAGUGACAGGGGAAGGCCCAUCACCACGGAAGCCAGGCUCGAGGGACUCGGAUGAGCACGGUAGGAAGAGAAGCCUCAGUGCUCGGAGUGGUAAUGAGGAGGAAGAGGAGGAGGAGGAGGAGAGCAAGAGUUCCACAAAUGACAAGAAGGAAGGCUCAGUGUCUCGGCCCAGACUACAGAGGAACGAGGUCAAGAUGCUGGAGGUAAAGGCUGAGCAGCUAGAGAAAGGCCAGAAGAAUAGGUCGCGCUCCAGCAGCAGAUCAUCUAAUGGCUCCUCAAGGUCGCCCUCACCAAAGAAGGCCAAACAAGAGCAGCCCAAGGCAAACAGCCGCAGAGAUUCGGAGAGCGGAGAAGAGAGGGACAACCGAAGACGCAGCACUGACAAAAGGCGAGAUUCCUCUAGCAGGAGCAGACGUGACUCUGAGACCUCGAAGGAGGCACCGCGGCCCAAACUCAGCAGGAAUGAAGUGAAGGUUCCAGAGGCUAAGCAAGGGAAGGUGGAAAGAAGAAGCAGAAAGGACGACUCGCCUUCAGAGAGCAGGUCGUCCAGUGAUUCUUCCCGGUCACCUGCCCACAAGAAGCACAAAAAGCGCUCUUCCUCAUCUUCGUCCUCCAGUUCCUCUAGCAACUCUUCCCGCUCGAGGUCGGGCUCUGGACACCGGAAGAGGUUUGGCAGUGCGAGCAAGAAAAAGCCGGAAGCCGACUCUUCAAGGUCUUCCCCGAGCAAGAGGCAAUUCCUAGCUUCCCCCGACCGCUCCAGAGCGAAGGACAACGGCGAGGAGCAUAAGGGACGGCACGGACCCACCUUGCCGGAGAAGAGGAGUCGCCAUUCACGCUCUCGGUCAAGAUCUCCCAAAGCCAAGACUCACAAGCAAGAUGGAAGCUCUCAUGAAUCCAAAAAGGACAGUAGGUCCUGGUCAGACAGUAGAAAGGACAGCCAGAACUCAGACAGGCAACAGCAAGAGGAGGAAGAGAAGGAGAACAAGGAAACUAAGCCUACAAUAGAUUACUCCUCUUUCAAGUCAGUGAGGAAAGUAAGUUUAUCUCGAGGCAAGUCGAAGGAUGAGGAAGCCGAGAAAGAUGCAGACAAGCCAAAGAAGAGGAAGUGGGGAAAUUCAUCUGCUAGGAAAAUGUCAGUGGACAUAUCCUCAGCUUCCCUUAAGACCAUUAUCCCGGAUGUGAAGCCCCUCCUACCCUCGGAACUCCACAUGGGCGAAGACUCUGAACCCGAGUCUGGAGAGGCAAGCGAUGCUGAGGGUCCAGAACCACCCCCCAGCCUGGCUCAGGAGGCCAAGGAAGAGAUAGCAGAGGAGGGCGAGGAGGCCAGACCUAGGCGUGAGGUGCGGGAAGUGUCCCCGGUAGCUGUCAAACAGAGGAAGAGAUCCAAAUCGCCUGAGGAGAAAGCCGUGCGGAAGAUCAGGAUGUACGAAGGACCUCCUGUAAGCAAGCCAGCCAUUCCCGCUGCACGCAACCCGCCUUCCAGAGUAGUUUUCAUUCAGCACUUAGUCAGACCAUUCACCAUCAACCAGCUGCGCGAGUUGCUACAGAGAACUGGUCGAUUAGUGGAGAAUGGCUUUUGGAUUGACAACAUCAAGUCAAAGUGCUUGGCAAUGUACGAGAACGAGGACCAAGCUCAAGAAACCCGUGUCGCUCUGCACGGUGUUAAAUGGCCAAUGUCGAACCCAAAGAAUCUGUUUGUUGAUUUCGCCACCGAGGAUGAGAUGAAGAAGAGGUUUGAGGAGAAUGCCCCUCCUCCCCAGAAGGCCAUAGAGGAGAAAAGAGACGACAAAUGGAAGCGCGAAGGGCCAGUGCGCGAGUGGGACUUGGCGAAAAUAGGAGAGCGCUCGCCAGGGGAGAGGGAGAGAGAACGCGAGAGGUUGAGAAGAGAGAGGGAAGAGGAGAGGAUGAGGGAACGCCGCAAGAGCCAGAGUCCGAGCGGAGCUGAAGGCGAAAAACAGAAGAAGAAACCAGAGGAACCUCCCGCUAAGCUGUUGGACGAUUUGUUCCGGAAAACCAAGGCACAGCCGGCUAUAUACUGGUUACCGCUGACCACGGAACAGAUCGCGGAGAAGGAGGCGCAGCGACGCCAGAAGAUGGCCGAGGUGGAGCGCCUUCAGGCCGAGAUGAAGGCAGCCAAGGAGAAGGAGAACGAGGAAUGGGAGAAGGCCAGAGCCGAGAGGAAGAAGGAACGCGAGAAGGAAAGGGAGAAGGAGAGAGAGAGGGAAAAAGAGCGCGAGAAGGAACGAGAGCGGGAGAGAGAGAAAGAGAAGGAGAAGAACUCCCGCAAGUCCCGCUCCAGAUCGAGGUCGCGGAGGAGGAGCCGUUCCUCGAGGAGGUCGCCGCGGAGGUCCCCGAGGAGGUCGCCCCGUAGGUCACCCAGAAGGUCGCCCAGACGCUCUCCCAAGAGGUCACCCAGAAGGUCGGCAGGGAAGUCUCCUCGAAGAUCACCGCAGCGUUCCCGGCGGUCCGCCAGCAGGGAAUCGCGCCGAUCUCGCAGAAGGAGCCGCAGCCGCUCACGAUCCCGCACUUGAUUCCAUGAAGGCAUUUUGAUGAGGGGAGCUCACAACCAUGCGAAGGAAACAUGAAAGAAAGAGAGAGAGAGAGAGAGAAAGAGAGGGCUUGCAAACAUGUAAACGAACCCAUAUGCAACAGGAAGAGGAGGAGGAGGACAAGCUACUACUACCAGCUGAUUGUUGGGCCCCACCGGCUCACAGCCUCCUAGAAGCAGUACUGUACUCAAACCAAAAGAGGCUUCAGCACGCCAGCUCCGACGCACCAGUCCUCUGCCAUCCACAAGAAGAGCAUUGGGUGGUAAGGGAAGUGUUGAAAGCGUUAUGGGUGACGAGAGAGAGCUCCUGCGCUGUGAGAUUCACCGAUGACUCGUCAGGGUACCAGCGGGAACUACGAUGAUCACCAGUACUGACCAGCGUUUGUCCUAUAGCUUCCUCAUGGAAUGCCGUUCGCGAAGCUGCACAGCUUUUCAAAAUGCCUCAACAGGCCCCAAACCUAAAGGGAAAUGAGAAAUGUUUCCAUCCUUCGACGACCAGAUAAAAACAAAGAACUGUACCUGCGGGUACUCCAAAACCGUACCUGCGGGUACUCUAAAUCAGAAAUUGACAGUAGAAUGUUUUAUCCCUCUAGCGGAUCACGAUGCAGAGAUAACACAGCACUGAUGAAAUCAAGGCUCGAGUGGCUUGAAGUGAACCGGUGAUUUUGAAUCAUUGAAGUGUGUCCGAGUUUUUUAAAAUUAAAAGAUGCAGACAAAAAAGUGAUAUAGAAAAUCUGGGUUUACCGACGCGUAUCGAUUAAUUAUUGCACUUGAUCAUGGGAGAACAUAUCGAAGCACCAAGUGACUGGGACAAACAGUGAAGCAGAACCUUUCGUGCAUUGGUGACUGACUGACUGAAGGGUUGUUCGACGACCCUCUCCCCUCUGAUUGUAUGGAGUACAAAAAUUUUAGUGAUGUGUAAGCCCAGGUGGAUAAGGAGAUGGACAUCCGGGAGAUGCAUGAUGCUCUCCAAAUGUGUGAACCCACAUAUGAAGUUUAAUAAGUGCUGAUUUAUGUAGGUCUACGGAUAUAUACGUUAUACAGAUAAAACUUUUCAGUUUAGAGUAUUUUGAUGUUACAUUUUCAAGUGAAUUUAUGCACUUUAGGUUUUUAUUGUUUGAGAGAGAUCUAAAGAUUUCUUCAGUUGUGAUGACUUGUGGAUGAUUGUUUAUAAUGGAAUAAAGUAACACCCUUA